AGGGCGCACGGUGGAUGCCUUGGCACCAGGAGCCGAUGAAGGACGUGGUAGGCCGCGAUAGGCCUGGGGGAGCUGCCAAACUAGCUGUGAUCCCAGGGUGUCCGAAUGGGGAAACCUGGCACGAGUCAUGUCGUGUCAUCCAUGCCUGAAUUCAUAGGGUGUGUGAGGGGAACGCGGGGAAGUGAAACAUCUCAGUACCCGCAGGAAGAGAAAACAACCGUGAUUCCGGGAGUAGUGGCGAGCGAAACCGGAUGAGGCCAAACCGUAUACGUGUGAGACCCGGCAGGGGUUGCGUGUACGGGGUUGUGGGAUCUCUCUUUCACAGUCUGCCGGCUGUGAGACGAGUCAGAAACCGUUGAUGUAGACGAAGGACAUGCGAAAGGUCCGGCGUAGAGGGUAAGACCCCCGUAGUCGAAACGUCAGCGGCUCGUUUGAGAGACACCCAAGUAGCACGGGGCCCGAGAAAUCCCGUGUGAAUCUGGCGGGACCACCCGCUAAGCCUAAAUAUUCCCUGGUGACCGAUAGCGGAUAGUACCGUGAGGGAAUGGUGAAAAGUACCGCGGGAGCGGAGUGAAAUAGUACCUGAAACCGUGUGCCUACAAGCCGUGGGAGCGUCGCGUUGCAUGCUUGCAUGCAACGUCGUGACUGCGUGCCUUUUGAAGAAUGAGCCUGCGAGUUUGCGGUGUGUUGCGAGGUUAACCCGUGUGGGGAAGCCGUAGCGAAAGCGAGUCCGAAUAGGGCGAUUCAGUAGCGCGCUCAAGACCCGAAGCGGAGUGAUCUAGCCAUGGGCAGGUUGAAGCGGAGGUAAGACUUCGUGGAGGACCGAACCCACCAGGGUUGAAAACCUGGGGGAUGACCUGUGGUUAGGGGUGAAAGGCCAAUCAAACUCCGUGAUAGCUGGUUCUCCCCGAAAUGCAUUUAGGUGCAGCGUCGUGUGUUUCUUGCCGGAGGUAGAGCACUGGAUAGGCGAUGGGCCCUACCGGGUUACUGACCUUAGCCAAACUCCGAAUGCCGGUAAGUGAGAGCACGGCAGUGAGACUGUGGGGGAUAAGCUCCAUGGUCGAGAGGGAAACAGCCCAGAGCAUCGACUAAGGCCCCUAAGCGUACGCUAAGUGGGAAAGGAUGUGGAGUCGCAGAGACAACCAGGAGGUUGGCUUAGAAGCAGCCACCCUUUAAAGAAAGCGUAAUAGCUCACUGAUCGAGUCGUCCUGCGCGGAAGAUGUAACGGGGCUCAAACCAUACACCGAAGCUGCGGAUGUGCAAUUUAUUGCACGUGGUAGGGGAGCGUUCUGUAAGCCUGCGAAGGUGUCUCGAGAGGGAUGCUGGAGGUAUCACAAGUGCGAAUGCUGACAUGAGUAGCGAUAAAGGGGGUGAAAGGCCCCCUCGCCGAAAGCCCAAGGUUUCCUACGCAACGUUCAUCGGCGUAGGGUGAGUCGGCCCCUAAGGCGAGGCAGAGAUGCGUAGCUGAUGGGAAGCAGGUUAAUAUUCCUGCACCGUCGUAUGAUGCGAUGGGGGGACGGAUCGCGGAAGGUUGUCCGGGUGUUGGAUGUCCCGGUUUCUGUAUCAGAGAAGGCUGUUAGGCAAAUCCGGCAGCGUAAUUCAAGGGUAUGGGACGAGCGAACUUGUUCGCGAAGCAAUCGGAAGUGGUUCCAAGAAAAGCCUCUAAGCUUCAGUCAUACGAGACCGUACCGCAAACCGACACAGGUGGGCGAGAUGAGUAUUCUAAGGCGCUUGAGAGAACUCGGGAGAAGGAACUCGGCAAAUUGGUACCGUAACUUCGGGAAAAGGUACGCCUCGGUAGCUUGACCACUUUACUGUGGAAGGGCGAAAAGGUUGCAAUAAACUGGUGGCUGCGACUGUUUAAUAAAAACACAGCACUCUGCAAACACGAAAGUGGACGUAUAGGGUGUGACGCCUGCCCGGUGCUGGAAGAUUAAAUGAUGGGGUGCAAGCUCUUGAUUGAAGUCCCAGUAAACGGCGGCCGUAACAAUAACGGUCCUAAGGUAGCGAAAUUCCUUGUCGGGUAAGUUCCGACCUGCACGAAUGGCGUAACGAUGGCCACACUGUCUCCUCCCGAGACUCAGCGAAGUUGAAGUGUUUGUGAUGAUGCAAUCUACCCGCGGCUAGACGGAAAGACCCCAUGAACCUUUACUGUAGCUUUGCAUUGGACUUUGAAUCAAUCUGUGUAGGAUAGGUGGGAGGCUUUGAAGCGUGGACGCUAGUCUGCGUGGAGCCAACCUUGAAAUACCACCCUGGCAACUUUGAGGUUCUAACCUGGGUCCAUUAUCUGGAUCGGGGACCGUGUAUGGUGGGUAGUUUGACUGGGGCGGUCUCCUCCUAAAGAGUAACGGAGGAGCUCGAAGGUACGCUCAGCGCGGUCGGACAUCGCGCACUGUGUGCAAAGGCAUAAGCGUGCUUGACUGCAAGAUCGACGGAUCAAGCAGGUACGAAAGUAGGUCUUAGUGAUCCGGUGGUUCUGUAUGGAAGGGCCAUCGCUCAACGGAUAAAAGGUACUCCGGGGAUAACAGGCUGAUACCGCCCAAGAGUUCAUAUCGACGGCGGUGUUUGGCACCUCGAUGUCGGCUCAUCACAUCCUGGGGCUGAAGCCGGUCCCAAGGGUAUGGCUGUUCGCCAUUUAAAGUGGUACGCGAGCUGGGUUUAGAACGUCGUGAGACAGUUCGGUCCCUAUCUGCCGUGGGCGCUGGAGAAUUGAGGGGGGUUGCUCCUAGUACGAGAGGACCGGAGUGGACGAACCUCUGGUGUUCCGGUUGUCACGCCAGUGGCAUUGCCGGGUAGCUAUGUUCGGAAGAGAUAACCGCUGAAAGCAUCUAAGCGGGAAACUCGCCUCAAGAUGAGAUCUCCCGGGAACUAGAUUCCCCUAAAGGGUCGUUCGAGACUACGACGUUGA
Molecule: ribosomal RNA, 2908 nt
Filed under: Paris polyphylla var. yunnanensis
Lineage: Eukaryota; Viridiplantae; Streptophyta; Magnoliopsida; Liliales; Melanthiaceae
Description: bacterial LSU rRNA
Rfam family: Bacterial large subunit ribosomal RNA
Source: RNAcentral